Molecule: long non-coding RNA, 2311 nt
Filed under: Eutrema salsugineum
Lineage: Eukaryota; Viridiplantae; Streptophyta; Magnoliopsida; Brassicales; Brassicaceae
Description: long non-coding RNA (ESAL_LNC000893)
Source: RNAcentral
CGACAACAAUUUCCCAAGCAAAUCCAAUUCGAAUUUGUAGAACUGAGUUCAGACUAAACAACUGGAUUCAGCCAAAAAAAAAAGUUUUCCGUUAGCUAAUGUUUACCGGAGCUCGACAGUUCGUAACCUCAUUAUCUCACAGAAUAAGACUUGAAUCUCACCAGCUUACAACUUCAUCUCCUCAGCUCGUAAGCAAGCUCUCGGAAUCUGUUUCAGGUCUCGAACAAACUCCAAAAAAUAUAAAGCUUUAGCUCGACAUCCCGCACCUAGCUCUCACGCUCCGUCUUAUGUCGAAGAUCUAGUUCCCAGUUUUAAGCUAAGGUGACACACUUCAACAGUUUAUCCGUAAAGAAACUCUGAAGCUUUAUUUCAAUUCAGAAAUUAGCUCAGAGCUCGGAUUACAGCACUUUGGACUCUUAUCCUACCUUGAGAACAAGCUCUUAGAUUCCGACUCGAUUGGAAUCUUUGGGAACAAGUUCCCAAACUACAUCCAAACUUUCUAGAUCACAGAUCUCACUUAAUACCAAAAAUAAUCUUAAGAACAAAUUCUCUAGCUCUAGAGAAUGAGUUAUUUGAGGUUGGUAGCGACAGUGCCUCCUACGGCAAAAAAUGAUUUAACAUCAUAUUCAAAGAAUCCAGGUUUCGAGGUCUUAGACUAGAUCAGUCAUCUCACCUCCGCCUGUUAUUACGAAUCUGUGAGCUUGCACGUAUUUUCGGUGGGCGGUAGAGCCAUACCCCAAUCACAGAUUGCGAAAUGCUAAAAUUUAGCGCGACUUAAAACGUCAAAAGCUUAAAAUGCGUAUUUUAUCUUAUCACAGCACAAACAAGCUCUGGAGAUUCGUUUCAGCUUAUGAACGAACUCAAACGUCAUGGGUCAGCUCAACAACCCGCAAUCAGCUCCCAAGCUGUGUUUCAUGCGGAGAUCUAACUCUCCGUUUUCACUUUAACUUAUCGGUUUGCAGAGAAGCUCUCAAACUCUGUUUUAAGCUUAAGUAAUAUACUUGACCAGCCAGUUCGUAGACAAGCCAUUUCAUUUCAGAAAGAGCUCCCAGCUCACACCUCGGUUCGUCAGCUCGAUUACAAACUAUGUAUCAGCUAAAGGAUCUCGAAUACCCAAACUCCGCUCGAGAACAGAUCCUAAAAUUUUUGUUUGGCUCGAGAAAAAUACUUAAACUCCCUUGAAUUUUAAAGCGAGUGUGAUUCAAACCGUCUAUGAAAACAAAUCGAGACCCCGUAUCAGUUUACAAACAAUUGUUAUGUCUUGACCAGAUUUAAAAGCUUACCUUUUAUGGUGGUCUUUUGAGGUAGGCAUUGGCACCGCCUCCUGCACUUAAUAGACUUCGCUUUUGCGACAGAUCGACAGUCAUUCGCCACAAAACAAACAGACUUCAUCCAGAGAAGCUCUCAAACGAUGUUCAAACCUUCCAGCUCAUACAUGCCAGUUAAACCCAUUACUUAUCUCGAGAACAAUUCUCAAGCUCCAGAAGAUAAGUAAUUUGAGGUCGGCAGUGACAGCACCUCUCAAGCUGGAAAGAGAAUUUCUUCGUCUUCAAAGAACUUAGCAUUUGCGUUUGUUCGACGAAGUCGGUUAUUACACCUCCGCAUGUUCCUAAGAAUCUGCGUGCUUACACGCAUUUUCGGUGGGCGGUAGGGCCAUACCCCAAUCAUAGAUUGCGAAAUGCUAUACGUUAGCGCAUCUUGAUCUAUCCGAUCAAAGAAAAAAAAGAAAAUCAAAGCUAACUCUACCUAGCUCGUAUCUGUUUUAGAUAUUCAAUACCUAUCGAAACAGGAAUCACCAAAAUCAAAAUAAUCACAAAGAUCCAAUAAAACAAAAAACGGAGCUGGGAGUAGGCAUCGUCCACUUGCCAUAAGCCGCCACCAACUAUUCUCCCUUAUGGAUGAUUUCUUCGAGUUAAUACACUCGCGAAUCCAAAUAUCAGGAAGAAGACAAAAUUUCAACUAACCUUGGAAUCUUCCACGAAAGAAAAUGUUGUUCGUAACUCAACCAGUACAAGACAAAAUUCGUCUCCAGACCUACGAUCAGUUCAGUCCGUGAUCAAACUCCAUCAAAAACUCGAUAUAAGAUCAAACUCGAUCUGCUAUCAAGGGACUAAUAAAGAAUUUCAUAGAAGACCUGGUACAAGGUAAUCAAAGAUUAACUUUAACCCCAGGUCACGUCUGCCCGCAAAAAUCCCACGACAUUCCCAAUCGCGGUCAUGACAACUCCCCCAUAGUCAUCCAUAUUUCACAGUCUGGGUCAUUCGAGACUGAUAAGAUAUGAUUUAGUCUGUCAAAUAUUUAGUUUCCUUUU